GAGGCCUGGAGUAACCUUUCGGGAUGACUUAUCGUGUGAAUCCUUUUCGGAGUUGUUAUGAAACUCGAUUUAGGUUCUCCCACUUCUCUUCUCUUUUGAAUUUUAUUUCGUUUUUUCAAAGAGGACAUUCUUCGGAAGUUUUUGACGUUGAUUUCGUCGUAACCAAUUUUGACCCCAACAGUUCCCGAUUGACAAAGAGAAUCAACCGGCGAUC
RNAcentral lists this long non-coding RNA (214 nucleotides) under Brassica napus (rape). RNAcentral describes it as "long non-coding RNA (BNAP_LNC013979)". The record is from RNAcentral. Lineage: Eukaryota; Viridiplantae; Streptophyta; Magnoliopsida; Brassicales; Brassicaceae.